RNAcentral lists this ribosomal RNA (496 nucleotides) under Corynebacterium sp. HMSC034B08. RNAcentral's name for it is "bacterial LSU rRNA". It matches the Rfam family "Bacterial large subunit ribosomal RNA", at positions 1431 to 1903 of the family's 2925-position model. Lineage: Bacteria; Bacillati; Actinomycetota; Actinomycetes; Mycobacteriales; Corynebacteriaceae. The record is from RNAcentral.
GGUGAUGCGUGGGGCCUGAUCCGUUGUAGGUCAGUGAUGGGGUGACGCAGCAAGGUAGCCAAGCCGCUUAUUGGAUUGCGGUGCAAGCGUGUGGCACGACAGCAUGUCAAAUGCGGCUGUCAAUAGUGUGAGGCGUGAUGCGUAGCCCAUAUAUGGGUGAUGUUGGUGAUCCUCUACUGCCGAGAAAAGCCUCUAGCGAUGUGUGUAUACGGCCCGUACCCGAAACCGACACAGGUAGUCAAGUAGAGAAUACUCAGGCGGUCGGGAGAACUGUGGUUAAGGAACUCGGCAAAUUACCCCCGUAACUUCGGGAGAAGGGGGACCCAAACUGGUGCCCGAUCUAUGCGAUCGUGGUUGCUGGCGUGGGUCGCAGAGAAUAGAGGGGAGCGACUGUUUAUCAAAAACACAGGUCCGUGCGAAGACGAUGAAGUUGAUGUAUACGGACUGACGCCUGCCCGGUGCUGGAAGGUUAAGAGGACCUGUUAGGACAUUUUGU